Molecule: long non-coding RNA, 678 nt
Organism: Apis cerana (Asiatic honeybee)
Lineage: Eukaryota; Metazoa; Arthropoda; Insecta; Hymenoptera; Apidae
Source: RefSeq, a predicted model, not a curated record
UCUUCAUUAAUAACUUAUGAUUUAUAAUCGAAAGAAAUAAUCAUAGAAAUAAAAAAAUAAAAUGUUAAUAACAGAUAAAGUAUCUAAAUCAUAUAUUACAUAUAUCGUUCGUAAUGUUUGCAAAACAAGUAUAGUUUAUUAGGAUAAAGCCGGUAGUACAAACAAAAGUACAAAAUCGUGAAAAAAGUGCGCGAAUAAGUAAUUUAUUAAUAUUAAAUUAUUCUUUAUAUAAAUAACAUAAAAAUCGCAUGAUAAUAUACAUAUUUACGCCAGGAAUCAUCAGAUCUGCGAACAAGAUAGUGUUCACCAAUAUCAAGAGAUUAAAAAUCACUGAUCAUUGAAGCGAUUUACCGCUAUGAGACAACCGAAAAUAGAUGAACAUUGCACUUGCUGAUGCAACACAACCAAUGCGGCCAUGAAAUUCUCCACAACAUAUAUUAUAUAUAUAAAAGAAACUAGAUCGUUCGAAGCGUUUUAAACGGAAAUGAAAAAUUUUUUUUGGAAUCGAUAAUUAAAAUUAUAAAUAUAAUCAAAUAAGAAAAAAUUGUCAUAAUAAUGUCAUAAUAAAUAUUGUAAAUAUAAAAAAAUUGUCAUAAUUGUCAUAAUAAAUAAUGAACAUAAUUUUAUUGAAAAGAAAUGUAUAAUUAAAAAACAUAACUAAUAUAUAAUUAAAAAAUA